GGUGAACGCUGGCGGCGUGUCUAAGGCAUGCAAGUCGAACGGUUCAGUGGAGUUUCCGCAAGGAAAUUUUACUGGAUAGUGGCGAACGGGUGAGUAACACCUUGGUAACCUACCUCCGAGAGGGGCAUAACUCCGCGAAAGCGGAGCUAAUUCCCCGUACGUUCCGACAGUACUUCUGUCGGAAGAAAAGCCCGCAAGGGUUGCUCGGAGAGGGGCCUAGGUCCCAUCAGCUUGUUGGUAGGGUAAUGGCCUACCAAGGCAAUGACGGGUAGCCGGUCUGAGAGGACGACCAGCCACACUGGAACUGAGACACGGUCCAGACUCCUACGGGAGGCAGCAGUGGGGAAUUUUGGACAAUGGGCGCAAGCCUGAUCCAGCAAUGCCGCGUGCAGGAUGAAGGCCUUAGGGUUGUAAACUGCUUUUGUACGGAACGAAACGGCCCUUCUAAUACGGGGGGCUAAUGACGGUACCGUAAGAAUAAGCACCGGCUAACUACGUGCCAGCCGCCGCCGUAA
RNAcentral lists this ribosomal RNA (515 nucleotides) under uncultured bacterium. RNAcentral describes it as "partial 16S ribosomal RNA". It matches the Rfam family "Bacterial small subunit ribosomal RNA", at positions 28 to 523 of the family's 1533-position model. The record is from RNAcentral.